ACGGGGUGCAGCAGGCGCGAAAACUGACCAAUGCGCGAAAGCGUGAGUCGGUCAAUCCGAGUGUAGACCCAUCGGUUUACUUUUAUCAUGUGUACAAAGCUUGGUGAAUAAUGUGAGGGCAAGACUGGUGCCAGCCGCCGCGGUAAAACCAGCUCAUAGAGUGGUGAUCGUGAUUAUUUGGCUUAAAGUGUGCGUAGCAGGGAAUUCUAAGUCCUCUGUGAAAUGUCAGGUCUUAAGCUUGACACGUGCAGAGGAUACUGGAAUCCUUGGGACCGGGAUAGGUGUAAUGUACGGUUUGGGUAGGGGUGAAAUCCGAUAAUCCAAGCCGGACAACCGGUGGCGAAGGCGUUACACUGGAACGGGUCCGACUGUGAGGCACGAAAGCUAGGGUCGCGAGCCGGAUUAGAUACCCGGGUAGUCCUAUGCUGUAAACGAUGCUCACUAAGUGUUAGGUAAUGCAAGACAUUCUCUAGUGCCGAAGCGAAAGCGUUAAGUGAGCCGCCUGGAAGUACGUUCGCAAGAA
This 523-nucleotide ribosomal RNA is filed under the name uncultured archaeon. Its description in RNAcentral is "bacterial SSU rRNA". It matches the Rfam family "Archaeal small subunit ribosomal RNA", at positions 325 to 849 of the family's 1478-position model. The record is from RNAcentral.